Molecule: ribosomal RNA, 531 nt
Filed under: Triticum aestivum (bread wheat)
Lineage: Eukaryota; Viridiplantae; Streptophyta; Magnoliopsida; Poales; Poaceae
Description: partial small subunit ribosomal RNA
Source: RNAcentral
AUGUGUCCUCCCAGUGUAAUGAUGAAGCAAAAACUCAUGUUACUCGCAGUAGCAAUAGCCACAACAAUGACAGUGCUCUUGUGCGAUACCAGGCAACGACUGCUGUCAGUCAUGAUCAGCAAAUUAACAAGAACAACAUUAUCUUCCAUACAAGUGCAAUUCUUUUUUGAAGAUGACAAUGAUGUUGGCAAAUCAAUUGGACAAUCACAACUUAGACUUCCAUACAAAGAUUGUUCUUCUACGAGAGUGGUUCCUGAUAUUCAGCACGACAUAACCCUUGCUAUGAGCUAUGUUGAUGGUACUACUUCGGGAAAUGAUGUAGGGUCGAUGCCCUCUGAUGUUAAUGAGACAAAUCCUCCAAAUGUUCUAUCUGGUCGUAGUACCAUCGAGAAAAGAAAUAGGAAGAAAAGAAAAGCAAAAAUGUUGUCCCCUGCAUCUCCAUUAUCAACACUGAAUCUAGAACCAGCUAUUGACAACUUCUACCUAAAGUACCUAAACUACAAGUUCUUCAAAGACAAUUCUAGAUUUUAA